This is a long non-coding RNA of Notolabrus celidotus (New Zealand spotty), 1456 nucleotides long. RefSeq lists it as uncharacterized. The record is from RefSeq and is a predicted model, not a curated record. The transcript has 4 exons. NCBI's taxonomy places the organism in Eukaryota, Metazoa, Chordata, Actinopteri, Labriformes, Labridae.
AGGCUCGCUGUCAGAGCGCCUGUCAGCAGCAUGUCCUGUACAGAGCAGCAGCUGAGCUUUAUUUUGCUUCCCAGACUGAAACCACUGUAGUGCAGUUGGACUUGACGUCUAGCAACACAACAUCACUGACUUUAAACAAGCAGACACGGCGGGUUAGCACGUUACUGACUGCAUUCACAGGCGGCUGCAGGAAUGUUGUGGUUGUGCUAGCUGCUGUGGCUAUCCAGGCUGUCCGGUGUGGGGUCUGACUCCGGGCCAGACUCUGGAAGUUUAGAGUUGGAUCUGCUUUCCAAGCUGCGCCAGACAGCAGAGCUAAGCUAACGCGGCUAAGUUAGCAGUGAGGAGGCUAGCACUGGCUCCCAUCCACCCACCGGGGCCACAGCACCAGACCGGUGUGUCCCUGCCUCUCCCACUCACCGUGACCCCCGUGGAAGCUGCAGCAUUUAGAUCCCCGAGUGAGGACACCCACGAGGGUUUUAUUGUGUCUACCUGGAGGCUGGUUUGGUGCCCAGUCUGGUUUGAUGAAGAAGCUAGCUGCAGAGCUAGAUCAGAAAUGUAACACCCUGAGCUGUCAGUCAUGUCUCAGGCCAGGGGGGACUCUUAUUUAUACAGUCUAUUGGGGACCCAACUUUUUUAUGCAAAUGAGGCACGCCGUGCAGAUGAUGAGCUGGUGUCACCAUGCAGCUGCAUGAGGGAUGAGCUGGAGGAUGAGUGUGUGCAGGGAGAGAGGCUGCAGGAAUCCAGUACCUUGUGAAGUUGGCAUGCUUGCGUCACCGUCAAUGGUUGGAGUCUUGCUGCUGUCACAUUGGUACACGUUUCCUCUGCUGUGCUGAUGAGAUCACACAGACGGAGGCAGAUGCUACAAAGAUGGUCCAGAGGAAGCUGAACUUUGAGUAAUCUGUGAUUGUUGUGAGGGUCUGCAUCAUUCAGAAAAGAAGAAGAAGUAUGGCUGUCUUCACGACGGUUAUCAUAAACACUCAGCUCCUCUCCCACCAGGAGUCUGUCCCGUCCCCUCAUUUAUCUUUCCUCUUGCUUCUUUGGGAAGCGGCCCGACAGGUCUCACAGCCCUGAAGCAUUAGUGAAGAGAAAACUCCACAGCAUUUGGCUAAUGGCUCCACAGUUCCCACAGUGAUUAGGAGCAGAGCACAAACUGCAGUAUUAAGUCGUUGAUUAAGUAGUUAAGAAGUCCUCGAAAGAACCAAAAAGUGCUGGAGACAGCGAUUUGGUAUUGUUUUCAGUCUUUGAGGGAGUUUCACAGAGGACGUUUAAACAGUUUUAUCAAACAGUGCUUUCACUUACUGCUAAAGUGUUUUAAUACGGCUUGUUCUUGUUUGCAGAGCUGCAUUUAACCUCAAAGCUGAAGGGCUGAUUUAAUAAUUCAGUUAAGUCCCUGUAUGCAGACACACACACAUACACACAUAUUUCACAUUGUACCACAAAAUAAACUUCUUUUGAU